Juglans microcarpa x Juglans regia is the source of this 219-nucleotide long non-coding RNA. RefSeq lists it as uncharacterized. NCBI's taxonomy places the organism in Eukaryota, Viridiplantae, Streptophyta, Magnoliopsida, Fagales, Juglandaceae. The record is from RefSeq and is a predicted model, not a curated record. The transcript is spliced from 2 exons.
AAGAGGUGGAGGACCCUUUUCAGCUGGUGGACCUGGAAAGGGGACGUAUUCACGCCUAUUUGUAAUCUAAGUAUGCUGAUAUGAUGAGCAGAUCUUCGUGUUUUUAAUGAGUAUCCACAAUUUCAGUCAAUUUCUGCAUUCAGCAGCAUCUACAAAAAUACUGGCAUAUUUGGCAUCCAAGCUACCACGGUGAACCAUCUAUUUUCACCUUUUAUUAAU